RNAcentral lists this ribosomal RNA (253 nucleotides) under uncultured bacterium. RNAcentral describes it as "partial 16S ribosomal RNA". It matches the Rfam family "Bacterial small subunit ribosomal RNA", at positions 524 to 776 of the family's 1533-position model. The record is from RNAcentral.
UACGUAGGGACCAAGCGUUGUUCGGAUUUACUGGGCGUAAAGGGCGCGUAGGCGGCAUGACAAGUCACUUGUGAAAUCUCUGGGCUUAACCCAGAACGGCCAAGUGAUACUGUCGCGCUAGAGUGCGGAAGGGGCAAUCGGAAUUCUUGGUGUAGCGGUGAAAUGCGUAGAUAUCAAGAGGAACACCUGAGGUGAAGACGGGUUGCUGGGCCGACACUGACGCUGAGGCGCGAAAGCCAGGGGAGCAAACGGG